This 405-nucleotide ribosomal RNA is filed under the name uncultured bacterium. RNAcentral's name for it is "partial 16S ribosomal RNA". It matches the Rfam family "Bacterial small subunit ribosomal RNA", at positions 28 to 526 of the family's 1533-position model. The record is from RNAcentral.
GAUGAACGCUAGCUACAGGCUUAACACAUGCAAGUCGAGGGACCGGCGCACGGGUGAGUAACCCGUAUACAACCUGCCAUUUACUCGGUGAUAGCCUUUCGAAAGAAAGAUUAAUACACGAUGUAAAGGAUGGGGAUGCGUUCCAUUAGGUUGUUGGUGAGGUAACGGCUCACCAAGCCUUCGAUGGAUAGGGGUUCUUAGAGGAAGGUCCCCCACAUUGGAACUGAGACACGGUCCAAACUCCUACGGGAGGCAGCAGUGAGGAAUAUUGGUCAAUGGGCGUUAGCCUGAACCAGCCAUGCCGCGUGUAUGAAGAAGGCCUAGGGUUGUAAAGUACUUUCAGUCGGGAGGCGUUACCGACAGAAGAAGCACCGGCUAACUCCGUGCCAGCAGCCGCGGUAAUUC